ACUUUGCAGCCCGACUUGAGCGGAAAUCCUUUUUUGUUGGUUGAGCUUGUCGAAACCAACAAAAAAGAUUGGGAGCGGAAGGCGGAAAAAGCU
This 93-nucleotide small RNA is filed under the name Chryseobacterium scophthalmum. RNAcentral describes it as "Flavo-1 RNA". It matches the Rfam family "Flavo-1 RNA". The record is from RNAcentral. Lineage: Bacteria; Pseudomonadati; Bacteroidota; Flavobacteriia; Flavobacteriales; Weeksellaceae.